RNAcentral lists this ribosomal RNA (466 nucleotides) under uncultured bacterium. Its description in RNAcentral is "partial 16S ribosomal RNA". It matches the Rfam family "Bacterial small subunit ribosomal RNA", at positions 28 to 507 of the family's 1533-position model. The record is from RNAcentral.
GACGAACGCUGGCGGCGUGCUUAACACAUGCAAGUCGAACGGAAAGGCCCUGCUUGCAGGGUACUCGAGUGGCGAACGGGUGAGUAACACGUGGGUGAUCUGCCCUGCACUUCGGGAUAAGCUUGGGAAACUGGGUCUAAUACCGGAUAGGAGCCAUCUUUAGUGUGGUGGUUGGAAAGUUUUUUCGGUGUGGGAUGAGCUCGCGGCCUAUCAGCUUGUUGGUGGGGUAAUGGCCUACCAAGGCGGCGACGGGUAGCCGGCCUGAGAGGGUGUACGGCCACAUUGGGACUGAGAUACGGCCCAGACUCCUACGGGAGGCAGCAGUGGGGAAUAUUGCACAAUGGGCGCAAGCCUGAUGCAGCGACGCCGCGUGGGGGAUGAAGGCCUUCGGGUUGUAAACUCCUUUCGCUAGGGACGAAGCUUUUUUGUGACGGUACCUAGAGAAGAAGCACCGGCUAACUACGUG